GGCUCAAUGAUUACGACCAGUCACUCUGGUUAUAUACGCUAUUCGGACUGCAGCUGUUGAAAAAUGUUAAUUAUGAGAGCC
Small nucleolar RNA from Phragmites australis (common reed), 81 nucleotides. RefSeq annotates it as small nucleolar RNA U54. The transcript has a single exon. NCBI's taxonomy places the organism in Eukaryota, Viridiplantae, Streptophyta, Magnoliopsida, Poales, Poaceae. The record is from RefSeq and is a predicted model, not a curated record.